This 428-nucleotide ribosomal RNA is filed under the name uncultured prokaryote. RNAcentral describes it as "bacterial SSU rRNA". It matches the Rfam family "Bacterial small subunit ribosomal RNA", at positions 355 to 774 of the family's 1533-position model. The record is from RNAcentral.
UGAGGAAUUUUGCGCAAUGGGAGCAAUCCUGACGCAGCAACGCCGCGUGGGUGAUGAAGGCCUUCGGGUCGUAAAGCCCUGUCAGGUGGGAAGAAUGUCCCGGGCCUGAACAGGUUCCGGGAGUGACGGUACCACCAGAGGAAGCACCGGCUAACUCCGUGCCAGCAGCCGCGGUAAUACGGCUGGUGCAAGCGUUAUUCGGAAUUACUUGGCGUAAAGCGCGUGUAGGCGGUCCUGCAAGUCUGAUGUGAAAGCCCCGGGCUUAACCCGGGAAGUGCAUUGGAAACUGUGGGACUUGAGUACUGGAGAGGAUGGGGGAAUUCCCGGUGUAGAGGUGAAAUUCGUAGAGAUCGGGAGGAAUAUCAGUGGCGAAGGCGCCCAUCUGGACGGUAACUGACGCUGAGACGCGAAAGCGUGGGGAGCAAACA